AAACUGCAGUUUGUCAGAGAUCAGCUGUGCUGCUCUGGUCAGUGCACUGAAGUCCAACCCCCCUUAUCUAAAACACGUGGAUAUAAUAGGAAACAACCUGGAGGAUUCAGGAAUGAAACAGCUGUGCGAUUACCUGGAGAGCCCACACUGUAGACUGGAGACUUUAAGACUGACUUCUUUGCUUUAGAUUCUGUACUGUGGUUGAGACACACAGUGAUGCCUACAGAGUGAUCCUUGAAGUCAAAGACUGAUUCUACCCAGACGUCUUCAAUCUGUUGCAGAGUGUACAAAGACAGACAAAGACAGUGUGGCCUUAACUCCAACUGCCUUUCCAUGCUGGAUGACUCUUAUGACUCCAGUGGAUGUGUCAGUACUGACAUAAUCACAUUCCUAAGCUCUGAGACAUUCAGAUACAUUCAGAAACAACUUUCAUUGCAUUCAUUUCACAUGCAAGGAUGCACUGAGGAGACCACAGUAAGAAUGCUGUGCACUCAAAAAGCAGAGAUGCCCAUGCAAACUAGAGGAUCAAAGGACUGUCCUUUGAUCUGAAAGAGUCACUAAGCUCUGGAACAAGUGCUGGAAUAUGUUAUUGGCAAAACUGAUCACUUAUUUUCUGCCUCUAUCAAAUCUCCUGAGUUGAAUGUUACUUUUACUUUUACAGUGGCUGCUCUCCAGCUGGUCUUGAGGCCAGGCUUUGCUUGGGCAGGUCCUGCUUUAUUACUUUGCUAUGAAGCAUUGUAGUAAUUUCAGGGUGCACAUUAUCGUGCUAGUGGUGUUGCAUUAGUGCUCCAGCAGUGUGUUAGUCAGUGCUGUGUUAUAUUACAGUUCAAAAACAUGUGUGUCACAUGUUUACUGUGUUGAAUGGUAAUCUGCGCACUACUGAGAAAAGACAGAUAGUUAAAGAAGCAUGGUGCAGUAAAAAGUAACACCCCGCUCACACCUCUUAGCUU
Oreochromis niloticus (Nile tilapia) is the source of this 950-nucleotide long non-coding RNA. RefSeq lists it as uncharacterized. The record is from RefSeq and is a predicted model, not a curated record. The transcript has 3 exons. Lineage: Eukaryota; Metazoa; Chordata; Actinopteri; Cichliformes; Cichlidae.